CCCCCCGCCCCCACCCAGGCCACCAGCCCCUCCACCACACCCCAAGCACAGAGCUACCUAAUGGACUGGCCUUCGCCCAACUGGAGCCUCCUGGGGGCCUCUGGCCUGCACCGUGCCCUGCCAGCUUCAGGGACUGUCGGCAGCCUGGACUUCCUGGUCAGCCGCAGUGUGGGCAUCCCUGUGUGGGGUUCAGGACUGAAUUCUGUGUUUGUGGUUUUGCUUCCUUUUUUAGACCAACAAAUGUUUUUAUUCAAAUAGAAAAGAGCUGUGCUCGGACUGUAGGCCGCGGUGGGGAUUCGGGGAUCGGUGAGGCUGCUCAGCUGGCCUGGGAGGGGCCGGACGGGAGGUGGGGUUGGUGUGGGGUUUCUCUCUGUGCUGUGCUCCCAGCCCUGAGGACUUCGGAGGAGAGCUCUUCUGAUUGACCACCUCACAGGAAUCCUUUGCUGUCCUAUGGCAAUUACCCUUCUUGUCGUUCCACCUGAGGGCCCCUGGUCUAUUCUAGGGCCAUUAGGGCUGGAUGGAGCCAUGCAGUCUGGUUUUGAGUGGGGUAACUAAGGGAAAGGUAUUCAUGGAGGAAGCGAUGGGGAGAGCCUGAGGAGAAAGUAUCUUCUGGUGAGAUGUAAGGCUCCAAGGCUCCUGUUGCUGCCACAUUGUCCCCCAAACAGACACUGUGUGUCUCCCACUAAUGGUCUGGGAAGAAGGGGGUGAUGGAAAGUGGUUAGAGGCUGGUGGGCAACUGGGAAUGAGGGAUGUGCUAGGGUUUCAACUCAGGGCACUGAGUCAUUGUGGCCUAAUGGAAAAAGGCAAUUCCUUGGAACAAGGGGCACGGAAGGAGACUAUAGUUGUCAGAUCACCCUCGUCUUAGUCCCACAGGCCUCCGUGUUGGCCUUGGGGUCAUGUCUUCAUCCUGUUCAACUGCCCAUCUUAAGAGUAGAAGAAAAUGGGUCUCAGAGCAAGGGAGAGCAGAGAGAAUGGGCCUGCUUACUCGCUGCCCUUGCCGGACUCUGUGUAGAGUCUACAGGUCGAUUUCUUCACCUUGGCAGGUAAAAAAAAUAAGCUUUUUGGAGAGUGCAGGAGAUGGAGAAUAGGGCUGUGGAAACUGAAGGGGUACUCUAGGGCUCUGGGGCUGAGUGGAGUGCAUUAUUUCUCCUGUACUGGGACAGGACCAAGAAGACUCACUCUACCGUGUCUCAGUUUCCCCAUCUGCCAAAUGAGGGUUGUGCUUGCUAAUCUCUGGCCCCUUCUAGCUCUGAAAUUCUUAGAUUCUGACAGCAUCGAGUCACUGUGUCAUUUUUCUCAAUGCCACUCUGGAAUGCCAGGAUAGCCCUCCACAGGCCUCGCACGAGUCGGGGGAAGCUGCCUCUGAGGGCUCCUAGGCCUGGGCACAGGUGGGUUUCAAUAAGACACUCCUCUCCUCCUUUGCACCUAUGUCACCACAAUUCAGAGGCUUUAGUGCCUGAGGCUGCUUUAGGCCCAGAGGGAGCACUUGGCCUCCUUCCCCUUUCUAACCUUUCUACACAGCAGAAACACACUGGCGAAGGUUUAUUUAUUUAUUUAUUUUUCAAACAGCCUAAUGUGGUAAAUGAGUCUUGAGAUGGCAUCCCAUUAGCCAAUACGGCCACUCUGGUUCUCUCCACUCUCAUCCCUCCAUACGAAAACCCAUACUUUAAAAGACCAUGACAGAGUAGGGUGAGAGCGUAGCUUGACGUGAGCUCCAUUGUGACUGCUGGUGGAUGUUCCAGGCCACUCAGACUGAUCUCCCUGCCAUGCCAUGCUCACCUGGUCCCUUCCUGGACUAAGCAAGAGUGAUUUGCUGUUGGAUGCCCACCUUGGAGUCAGGUGCCAUGGCCAAGGGUCCUUCCAGUUCUUCUUUGCUGUGGACUUGAACCAAAUGCUGCCCUCUAAUUAUGUCCCUGACCUCUGAGUGGAUCUUAAGAGUCACUAAGUCUCCUCUUGUUAACAACAAAGGACUUGAUGCUUCCUCCACUCAGCAGAUCAUGCACAAAUCAUCCCUGGAGAGAAGCUUCCCAACGAGACAAAAGGAUCCUUGGUCCUUCUGGGUUCAAGUGGCACAUUACCGUCCUUCUCUGGCGAUGCUUACUUUGCGGAAUACACUAGUGCAAGUAUUUUUGGUGCUAAAUACUACAGAAACCAACACCAACAGGAGAGCUGACAGCCAGUCUCUGGGGCUGCAUGAGACUCAACUCAGAAGCAAAAGUGAGUCAGUCAUGCUGGGAAAGUACAGGAUGCGUGGGAAGCCAGGUGGGAAUGUGGGGUGAUGGAAAGACCAUCGCAAAUCCUGGCUUAGCUCUUAGUUACCUGGCUGACCUUGGCUGGAUCAACUAAUUUUUAAGAUGGUCAGAUUUCUCAUCUGAGACAUUUAAGAGGUUAGAAUAGAUAUUCUGGUGGUUCCUUUUAGUUAAAAAAAAAAAAACUAUAUUCUGGUCCCACCUGGGUUUUUGGCUUUUGUGUUAUUGUUUGUUUUUUAACUUGCUGUUAGGAAAUAAGAGAGAAAAUGAAAGACAGAUAAGGAAAGGGAAGAGAAAAAAUUGCCAAUGGCAAGAAAUUGAUUAUAGAAGGCAAAUAACGAAGGCUCCAUGAGUUAGGUUUGUGGGGAGUUGGUGGGGAGAGCCAGGCAGAUAAGCCAGGGACCCCAUUUUUGUGCUCCUCAACGAAGGCUGCCACCUGGCCCCUUGGUUGACUUCCACCAGGCAGUCCUCCUAACUAGCCACGUACUCCAUUUCAACACGGACAUACCCAAGUCGGCAGAAACUAUUCCAAGAUAUGGAGACAGGCCUAUCCACUUGGCAUGCAGGCCACUGGCAAUCUGAACUCUGGGUCAGAAACAAAGUGAGUUUUUCCCUGAGCUGCUGUUGUAAGGAGGUAGGGUACUGGAAAGAGGGCACCAUUGUAAGUUGCAGGCUAUUCACUAAAGUCCUGUUCUGUUCAGGAAUGCCUAAUGGCUUCCUUGCUGUCCUUUUCCAAAUCAAAUAGCAGCAGUGUUAUCCUGACUUGAGGUACAGUUGUUGCAACUUGAGGUGGCAGCCUUGAGAUUUGGGGGUCUCCUCUGUGCUUUGCUCAGUGUCAGAAGCAAAGAAAGAUCUAUAGAUGUUUGUUGAAUGAACUCAUGUGCUGGCUAUCUAGACAGCUGCCCUUCACUGUCCCUGGGAUGUCUACUGUCAGCUUUGGUUGGAAGCCAAACCUGCUAGAAUACCCAAAGGCGUACACCUUAGAGCUAAAAAUGGCACCCUUUUGGUCCCUAGAGCACCAACCUCUUCUUUGAUACCAAAUAAAUUUUUUGGUCAACCCUUAAUAGGUUUUAAAGGAAAAUUCCAAGCUUUUGUAUCACUAUCAAAAUAUCACUAUAGGACUUCAGAAAAUAUUUUAAGAUUUCUUAGCAUCACUGGAAGUGUCAUCCUAGGGACAGCAUGGCCUGUAUACAGUGUAUGCUUAUAUCUAUAUAUUUCAUUGGAAUGGCUUCAGUGAAGGUUCGCUUGGAGUCAGCAAAUUGAUUUCACAAUGCUUGGUCUCUCUAAGCCUUACAUUUCUUAGGAAUAAGAAAUCCAGCGAUGGACUGGCCUAAGAGACGUUCAGAAACGUACUGAUGGGAAAUUCAUCAUCUUGUAAAGUUUGAUUGUUUGGUGCUCCCCGAAUUAAAUUAUGCUGAUGACAAUAUUCUGAGCAUCUGAAAACUACUCUUCCUGGUGGUUUGAUAGAUUCCCUUAUGGGAGCCCUUUCUGCCACAUCCCAUUUGGAGGUUGGUAUUGAAUUCACCAGCACUGCAGUUAAAACCACCCCCUAGGAGAAGUGGGACAGGGAGAAUAUGAGGUGUUGAUACUUGCUCACUCUUUCUGAAAGGCAUUGCUGAUGGUGGAGGAUGUGGUGAAUAUUUGUUUCACUGCAUUGGGUGUUGGGGCUUUUGCCAGGAGCACGGGCUGUUCCACCCUAAGGACCUGAAUCUUGGCUUCUGAUAGAGUCUUGUUUCCCUGGUGCAUUCUCCCAGGCAUAGUUCCUUUGACUGCCUAAAAUAAUUCUAUAUUUUGCAACAAGAGAUGUCUCUGGCCCAAGUCUCAGUGGGCCAAUAUAGACACUUUUCUAUUCCACAAGGGAUCCAUGGAGACUGGGGGACACCCUUAAAGUACUGGGAAUUCUUGAUUCAAGUAAUAAAAUUCAGAUUCCCUUUCCUCUUUAGCUAAGUUCCAAAUUGAAAGCAAAGCUUGGGUUGAUAUUUGCAGUAGAGAUAACGUCUUAAGCCGGCGUGCUGGGCUAUCUCCCAUCAAGGAGAGACAGAGCAUUACAGCUACCUGACAUUAAUUAAUUUUUCCUAAUCACCAAGGUAAACAUUGCUUUGUGUGCAGUGCUAUGCCCCAAGCUUGUAGCUUGCGAGAGAUACUUAAGGCCAACAAAACUAGAUCUCUCUAACAGAAGAUGUAUCAAGAUAACAUAGAUGAGGAAAGGCCUGUUGGACAGCUACUUCUGACACAUGCCUUGGCCCUCAGGUCUUGCUUUUAAGUUUUCCAUCUUAUGAGAGGAUUUGGUUUCUAGUCACUUUAGAGGAUGACAAAUUUAGACGUCCUUCCUGGAAGCCAAUGGUAGACUGAGAGCCCAGAUGUCCGCUGUGUACUCUGACGUUGUCUUGGCUGCACCAUCAGUAAAGCCCAGUGAGAAAUGUGGAUGCUCAUGUCUAAGCUGAUACUUAUCACUUCAUUUAAGAAGAGAGCAUGGAUGUCAUUAAAAAAAAAGACUUUUGUAAUCUGUUCACUGCUAGGACCUACUCAAAUGACUAGCUUUCGUAAAUGUUUUGCUUUUUCUUGGAGAAGUGUCCACAUUCCAUCUCCAUUUAACAGCCACCUGACACUUACCUCAUGUCUCUGAGCUCACUCUGGAGUGAGUAAACAAACCUGGUGCAGGUGUUGUGAUUUUUGCUUUCCGUAGUACAGAAGUAAAUCUCAGUAUAGAAGAUUUUCUUUCAUUUUUGCUCUUUUUACUUUUGCUUUUUCUUUUGGCUCCUAUCUUCCUGCUUCCAUGGGACUGACAACCCAGCUUCUCAAACUCUGUGAAAGUCUUAAUACAAGGUGAAUCCUAGGACCACAAACAGUUUGGACUUCAAACAGUGAGAAAAUUGGUGCUGAAUGAUUCGGCACACAAAGCAGAAAACUUUCAUUUCCUACAGGCAGGAUGGAAUUGACUGUUAUAUUAAGACUUCUGAAGGAGCCCUGCCCUGGAGUAAUUUCUUCACUGUCAGACAAUGUUGACAUCUAGAUUAACCUCUGUGCAGUGAAGUUUACUGCAAAGCUCAUUGAGAUGCAUGUUGUGUAUCUUUGCAAAUCCCAUCAGGAACCCUUGUGGCCCACCCUCAGCAACCCCCCCUCCCUUCCUCACCCACUGCUCUCUCCGUCUAUGAACUUUUAGUCUCCAGGAGUCGAGGAGCCAUGGCUGGGAUCUGACUCCAGGAGAGACAGUUUUGACCUUUCUCUGACCAUGGUGCUGAGCCAGCUUUCUGCUCAGUUGGAGUGACAGUGGUUGUCAUCAUAUUGGUGUUCCCCUGAGGGGACUGUAAAUCAAGGCAUAAAAGCCCCUCUGCUGAUGACAAACAGUUUCACAGUGUAUCUCGAUGCUGCACAAAGUAAAACGGUUUAUGAGAAUUAAUGUACCCGUUGUCAGUGAGCCCUGCUCUGGGCUCCCCAGUGCUCCAGCACUCCCAGGUCCAGAUGCAACAGGCCUUGACUGCAGCCAGGUGGCCAGAGGGGCUGGUGGGUCUGAUAGAAAAAGGGCUUACCCUGUGUCUGUGCAGGUGUUUCCUAUGGUCCUUACAAGAGAGGCAGCCCUGGCUCCUUUUUCUCCUGGUUGGGACAGAGAGUGUAGCUGUUACCCAAACCCCAGCUUGUCAGCUCUCUAUGAUGUGAUGGGGUCCAGAAUGAACCGACCCUUUCUAACUCACUAUGUGGUCCAUAUGGAGGCACAAUGGCCAGCGGAAACCUCAAAGCUGAAAUCACAUAUUCUGUACAAACUAGGGCUAUUGAUUCAUCAAAAGUCUUGAGAAAGGGCCGUUAGCUCAGUCACAGCCACCUUCAGCCUCCGCCAAUCUGCUCCACAUCAUCACGGCUGUUUUUGGGAACUCAUCUUGGGACUUUAGAAUACUGUGCCCCAAAGUUCGGAGAACAGAUUUCUCUGGGGUUUUACUUAUGCUGAUUCUCUUUGAAAUUGUUUUUCCUACUUUUCCUCUUGUCUUUAGUAUGAGUAACAAGAAUCUCCUUGUAUAUUCUGAGACAUUUCUUUAGAAGAAAUGAAAGUUUCCAGCCAAGGACAUUGUGUUUAUUGACUGGGAAAAUAGAUUUCUGGGCCAAGUAAUGUCACAACCAUACUGAGGCAAACCUGACGACUUUAUUUAAAAGCAAUUAUCAGUGUAGUAUUUUGUUCUAGAUGCUCAGGCUUACAUAGUGCAGACUACAUUUGUCUUUUUUAUUAUUUAUGAUAUUAUGAUUCUUGUUCAUGUGUGCACAUAUGCGCACACACGCGCAGACACGCAUACACACAAAUGCUUCUAUUGGACUUCUAUUGGUCCAAUAUGGUUCAACAAACCGAUGGGCCCCAUUAGUCUUUCUCCUACUGAUCUCUGUGUGUAUUUAUGUUCAGAUAAGUGUGCGCCAAGUGUGUGGUUUCUUAAAUUUUUCUAUAGCUCACCCUUUCUUUUAUUAUCGUUACACUGUCUUUGACUUUUUGCACUGUGGAUCAUUUAUGAAGUGAGGGCUUUUUAAAAGGAGACUAAAUCCUGAGUUUUAAGAACCUUCAUAUUUAAAGACUGGACUAGUUUUCUCAGAGAAACUCAAAACCAAACCCAAUCUUGAUACAGGUUUUAUUUGAUUAAUUUGGGGGAGGCACUGAAUUUGGGCCUGAAUAAUACAUAUUAAGUACAAAUAUAAAUGUGAACUAGUUCAAGCAGAUUCCUGAACCUAUCAUGGGGCUAAAACCAUUAGAUAUAAAACUCAAACAUUCAAAUUGAAUUGGAAUAUGAAGUGAAAGAGUUAACGUGGGACGUGAGAAUAUCACUGAGUUCGAAGUGAGCUGGCCGGACUCAGUGCUACUUGGUGGGUGACUGUGCACGAUCACCUCAGUUAUCUGGGUCAAAUAUAAAGGGGGCAGCUGGAAACUAAUUGCAGACCUGUGCCCCUUCUCUGAUUGCGGUGAUGGGGCAAGCCAAUAGAUUUCUCAGCCAUUGCUCAGAUAAGGUACCACUGAAAUGGAUCUCCUCAAGGUCUCACCUUUGGGCAAGUUUGCGCAUGUCCGCACCCUGAAGAGUCAGCCCCGUUUUCAUCUUGUGUUCAGUUCAUCCUUGCAGCUGUCCUUCGAAUGUUCUCCAAACUCUGACCUCUUACCCCCAUCUGCCGUUCCCCACCCCGCCCCUUUACAGGCCCUGUUCUGUCUCUGCAAAGGCAGGGAAAGCCCGACUGCCCAUUUCCCUCUUCCCUAGCAUCAGCCAUGCCUGUGACUUAGCCCAAGUUUUGGGGGAAGAAAACAGUGUGUUCUAGCAGCCAUCCUUGUCUCUUUCCAGCUCCUGGACCCAGUGAUUAGCUCCUCAUUAGCACCUCAUCAGUGGCUUUUGCACAGAGACUCUUGGACAACAAGCCUAAAAUAAUGCUUGUGGUCUGUCUUUUUGCAGUCAUCCUUUCCUUCUGGCUUGGUUAGGAGAGGCAAGCCUUGCUACAAACAGCUUUUCCUUCAAAUUUCUCUGGCUUUUGUUCUGUCUGUUAAAUAUACUGGUAAAUGGCAAACUACGGUAUUCUUUUUUUUCCCCCCCCCGAUCCUAUCAGUGUAGGAGUACUGUGUCCCUAUGGAAUAGGAGCACGGCUUAUCAGCAAAGUGUUUAUUUAGUGGAGGGGCUGUAAUAUUGACACACAGAUUUGCAGCAGCAUCCAAAUCUUGAGGGGGGGACAAAGUGUCUUUUUUGAUCAAGUGAGAUCUUCACUGUGAUGACAUCAGAAAGGUUUAUGCCUUAAGGACAGACUUGAACCUGAGAACAUGCUCCCUUUUUGGGGAACAAUGAGGGGGAAGAAAUCACCCAAGGAUGUGGGAGACCAGACCCUCCAUUUCACAAACGACUAUUUACCAAUAGAAACUUUGUGUCAUCUAAGUGGCUCUGAAAAACACAAUAAUAAACUAUGACUAACUAUCCACAUUUACCAUUAAAAGCAAAUUCAUCAUGUCUAACCCAACCCCUACUUUUUAAAAGUAUCAUUUUUUCUCAUAACCCUGGAGAUGGCUCAAUGUUGUUUCUUUUCCCUGGUCCCUUCUAAUAUUUUCAAUGAGAUUUCUAAAAAUUUUUCCUUUAAUUCCUUCCAGAAAGAUAUGGGGUCUAUUUUAAAUGCCGUCUAUGAUAAAAUGGCAAGAUAAGUAGAAAGUGGGGAAGUGGGGUGGAGGGUAGGCUGUGUGACGAAGAGGCAGAAAAUUUCUGAGAUUCUAUUUCCUGCUGAGUGAUCCUGGAAGAAGCAUGAUCUCCUCUGUGCCUCAUUUUCUCGAUCUACAAAAAAGAACUGCUACCAAACCCUGCCUGCCCAGAUUACGAUGAACGCCAGAAGAGAUCACAGCUGCCAGUUCCAUGGGCCCCACAAGACGCCCCCAGAUAAGUGGAACCCACUCUCUGCACAGGGAGUGGUGCAAAUAGUCUUGCUGGGCGCUGAGUGUGAGCUGCUUUGUGGCGUGUGCCACGUCUUCAGGUGCUCCUUCCUUAAAUUCCUCCUGAAGUUUGGUUUCUAGAUUUUAUCAUUAGCAUUUUCCUCUUUGAAUGACCAUUGGGCACAUAGGGAUGGCAAAUACCUUUCCAAAAUUACUGUCAGAAAGAGGAUGUUUUACCCAUUUGGCUCUCUCAUUGAAAGCAUAGAUUUUAUUUUCAGACUUGGAACCCUGAACAUUUUGUAACAAAAUGGCAUCUGCUGCUGCGUUUAUCCAUUGUUACUUUCAGGAGGUUCUAUAGAUUUAAAUGUAAUGUUUUUUAAAGUAAGACUACAUGAAGCUUCCUCUAUAAAUUGGGUGGUGGGACUAAUCUUGCAGGAAGCACCCAGAGUGAUAAUGAUCCUGAAGCAGUAACACGUUCAUUCUAAGGCCAGCAUUUUGUACAUGGGGAAAUAAUCUUAAGACAGAAAGAGCUGCUUGGGUGAAGACCAAAUGCUAAACACACUUCAAAUAGCCUUGGGCACCAACAAAUAGGUGUGAGUGAGAUUCACACUGAGAAACAUAUCUGAUUGAAAAUGAAACUCCUGACAAUAAAUUUUGAGGCCAGAUUGCCAAGGUUCUAUCAGUGAUGUCAUUUAUAGCCCCUAAAAAAAAUCCCAGGUGUUUGUGAUACCAGCCACUAUUAUAAAUAGCUUACAGUGGUGAGGCCUUGGCAAGUUAAAUCUUUUUAAUGUAAUUUCCUUUAGCUCUCUGAGCAACAAUCAGGUGUCAUGCAACUGACUAAAUGCUGUGCUUGAUUGAAAAACAUGGAAUUUUGACCACUCCCGAGAGAAAUCAGAAUAAAGCGUAUUACAUGAAAUCCUAAAAAAUUCACAAAUGUUUUGCUCAAGUUCUGGAUCCUUUUUUUCUUUUUACCAUGGAUUCAUUUCCCUUUUCUUUUCUUUUCGUCAUGUAGAAGAGUCGCACCUCUGGUCUGAAUCUCUCUGUCCAGGUGAUUUUCGCCUGCAGCUGUCCAGCAGACAGAGAGCAUUUCAGCUUUCUUUGAAAUGAGAGUCGAAAUUGGGUUAUGAAUAGAAUUUUAAAUUAUGGUAUGAAGUUAGAGAAGGCAAGCUGGUUCAGGGCAGCAUUCCAGAAUUCAUUCUGAUAGUCCCGAGGAGAUGACCUCCGUCACAACACCGUGGAGGCCUGCCUUGAACAAGCCAUUCCACUGUGUAAUUUCCUAGCAACAAGUCUGAUUAUUUAAGGAUUUCAGAGGUAUCAUUUGAGAAAUGACUCACUUGACAUGGAAAAUUUGAUCUAAUAUGUUAACAGGAGCAACAAGAACUUACUUUAAUGCUUUUUCUUUUCCCCUCUGAAAGUUUAUUUAGGCUUUCUUGGGGAUCCAUUGGGAUAUUUUCUUUUCAAGACUGGAAAUGAUUGAUUAUAGUUCAUGUCUAAAAGCAAAAGCCCCCCUAACUCAUUGGAGUUGGAGGCAACAAAAAAUGACCCAUGUUAGUUUUCUGUUAUCCCACAUAAUCAAGGACCCUUCUUGGUUAUGUUUGUGGGCCAUGGCGGGUGAGCUCAAGGGCAUUGUCAAAAUAGAAUGAAAAGAAAGCAAGUUGAGACAAGAAAAUUCUCACUUUGAGUGUGGGUGAAAACAGCAGUCCUGCUCUCUCUGGCAAAGAUUCAUGUACCGUUAAGGGAAGAAUCAUGUUCUUUCUCAAGUACGUUUUACUUUCUGAGAUUUCUUGUGUUUCUCUGUGUGUUGGCUGGGGGAGGCGUUUAUAAGUUUAGACUUUCUCUUGAGCACAGUAAAAACUCUGCUCAGUUUCUCAGAAGGUGACAAUAAAAUUAGAGGUGGAGAGGAAUUCAGAGACCCGUGUUUCAGUAUGUGGUAAAGUUUUACCCAAAUAUUUCCUUCAGGAACGUUUAGUCAUAGUAAGCCAAGUCAAUCCCAUGUCUGCAGUUGUUAUCAGGAAAAAUAAAUUAGCAGGCAGUUUCCACAGACUCUGAUGCUGCAUCCAUUUUGGUCCUUGAGUCACAUGAAGUAACAUACCAAUAGGGACUGAAUGGGGAGGUGGUUUGGAUGAGCUACCCCAUCAGAAUUAUGGCAAUGCAUUAGUUCUGUCCCGAACUAGAGUCACUUCAGAGCUGCUUUUCAUUUGAAAUGGCACAAAAAAGAGGCAUUGAAAACAUGUUUGGAGGCCUGUCACCUAAAGUCAGCCUCUGCUGAAACAGUUUUCAGUGUGAUAGGCAUCUGUUUUCAGCACCAGGGACAGCAAACACCUCCUCGAUUGAACCUGCAGUCCUGAUUGACCUUCCACACACUGAAGGGCGGGUUUUUCCUUUACUUCCUAUUCAUUGGGGCCUCAUCCUGGAAGACUUUAUUCUUAAGUUUUGGUGCUUACAUCUUCUAUUUAUUUUCAAGCCUGGUGGCUAAGCUGUUUGUGUCACAUUCUGGACGUGCUAAAAAAUGAUGAGGAUUGAACUAACACAUCCAGGUCUCCUGGCCCAGAGGAGUGGAAAGAAAGACACCAAGACAUCAAUGAAGGGCACAUUGGCACAAGCACCUCCUGGAAAAAGUGUUCACAAGGCACCUUUGACUCCUAAACUCCCCAGUGGGAGACUGCUUAUUGGCAAUCACUUUCUUUUUACAAUUUCUGCACAGUUCCCACAAUGUCCAAGUCUAUGUUUCACUCGGUGUGUGUUUGUAGGCAAUAUUUCACAGGAGUUGAGCAGAAACUAUGAACUUUGAGGACAGAAAGUGGCCCAGUGAUGCUGUUGUUAGGCAUAUUGGAGAGUUGGGGCCGGGCACUGCUUUGGAUGCCACCAGCUGCCCUCCAAUCCUGAGUGCUGUUAAGCAGCUCACUUUGCCUUAAACAACCAUAGUAAAAAUGCAGAUGGCUCCUUUAGGCCUCUGUCAGGCCAGACUGAAGGGAUGCACUGAGAAAAUCAACGUAGUGGAAGCACAUGUUGUCACUUUGCCUUGUGAUUGGCCAGUUGUCAUAUAGCACAAUAACACAUUAGAUGCAUCUUAGAGGCAGCAUUGUCUUCUCUUAAUUAACCCCUCAUGUCAGGAUAGCCCCAGUGCUGGGAAGGUAAGACAGUCACCGAGGAUUUCACCUUAAAUACUUUUUCUGUUUCACAGGAGUUAAAUGAACUCCACUUCAACUGCCUCUGGACCAUCCAAAGCACUGAACACUCCACUGUACCCUCUCUUCUUCCCCUCCUUCAGUGUUGCUUAUCAUAAUUUGUAACAUUUAGUGGUACAAGACCAUAAAGGAUUCUUUUUAAGGAUAAAUGAGGUGGUCAAAACAGGCUAGAGCCACAUCUCAGACAAACAAGUUCAAUGGAACUGCAAUUCUUAACCUUGAAGUGGAUCUGAGGACAAUCCAUUCUUCCUCCAUUCCUUGCCUUUUGAGGGCAUCUCAUUCCAGUUCUCACACUUGCCAUGCAAAAAGGCCAAAGGAAGAGUUUCUCUAGAUUAUUUAUGUGAGGACUGGGGGAAGGAAGGGUCAAAAAUUUUCUAUUAGAACUCUGUAGAAUAGAGGAGCUUUGUUUUUUAUUGAAAUCAAGGAACAAGCCUAGUUUUGACAGAAUAUGUAUGUGAAGGACCACCAGGUAUAGGAGAGCUUGAUGGGGGAAAUUCUGUUUCCUUAGAACAGAGAGGGAGGAGUUGCAGAUUGACUGGUAGGAAACAAAUGAUCCACUGGCCAGGGGGAAAGGUAGUCUGAGACUGGAGAUACAGAAGCAGGCAUCUUUAGACAUAGAGGUGAUGCCAAUGGAAGCCUCAGGAAAGAACAGGCCAGAGAAUAAAAUCCUACAGAGGCUGUCAGUACUUUUUCUGGAAAUUUCCUAAAAUUUUCAAGGGCACUUCUAGCCCUCUGCCUCCUUAAAGGUGAACUCAGUGCUACUUCUGGGUUCUUAAGGCAAAUGCCCUACAAACACCAAAGUCUUGUAUUUUCCACUCUCAGCCAAUGCUGGCUGUCCUGAGUGGAAUAUUUUCCCCUUCCCUAUGUGAAAGGGACUUGUUUUCAGGAGAAGUGUCCUUUAAUUAUCCAGCUAAAACUGGAGGUAAUUUUUUGCAUGAAUGGCUUUUUACAGCUAGGUCUAAAGCCGAACAAAACUUGUAUUAAACUAAGUGCUACUUUACAUAUCUUAUUUCAAGAGAAAUGAAGGAUUUAUUGCCGUGUAAAUGAUGUACACUGAUUUGUUUCCUACUGGACAUUACAUGUCCCUUUAUCUUUAGGCUGAUAUUGCGCAGCAAACUUUCAAUAUCUGGAAAAUCAGCCAGUACCUACUUCAGUGCACUAGUUGGGUAUUAUGUUCUCAGAGAGGAAUUUUGCGAAUGAAGUUUAGGUGCUGUUGUAACUGAUUUCCGCCCUCAUCCCUAAGCUUUCUGUAUUAAAUAUAUGUAAAGUGAUUAUAUCUCGUCAGACCCCAUGUGUUUGUGUGUGUUUCCCAAUGUAUGUAUAAAUAUAUCGGCCAACUGAAGGGUAAGUUGGAUUAUAGCAACUGCUGAACAAUGGUGUAGAUGGCAGUGGUCAUGUGAUACAUCCACACUCUUGUUCUCAGGCCAAGCUAAUCUUACAGAGUUUAGAAAAAACACAAUGUGGCAUGGCUUGGAAAAAUCUUAACAGUAGAUAUAGUCUUGCCAGGCCAUCGUUCUUUGGUGGAAACCUUGGCGGCAGCAAAGUUGAGAUGUACUCAACUGGACCUUACGUCAUUUAUUUUUAUCUCAAUUGAUUGUUCCUCAGUUCUCUUUUAUGACUUAGAAAUACUCCCCCAUGAUGCCUGUUUGUUUUUUGCCAAGGCCACUGGAAAGUGCUGAUCGUGUUUGCUCCCCAUCACUUGAAUCCCAAAGUUAUUAACUCACGGUGGCUGACUGAGGUUUUAGUAAACCUGGGUUUUACGAAUAGUACCCCUUCUAUUUCUUCCAUUCAUUUCCUUUUAAAAAAAAUCCAUGGGUUAUGCUAGGUUUAUUCGCAUCCUGGUGAGCCUUGGAGAAUCAAUUUAGUUAAAAUGAUGACUGUAUCUGCCUUUGGAGAAGAGGCUUAUGUUAUAAAAUUCUUAUGUAAAUAUGUCCUUUAUGCAAAAACUAUGGAUUCUAACAUGGUAGGAUGGCCCCUGUGUAGGAGAUAUGUGUUCUCAGUUGAUAUUAAGGGAUGCAUUGAAAAGGCAAGUGCUCCCUAUCUCUAUUCCCUACACUGCUCUUCCUUCCUCCCCAACCUCAAAAGGAAACAGAAAAUUAUUUUUUUAAAUUGUAUUAAUAAUUUAUGUUUAAUACAAAAGGAUGAUUUAAUGGUAUCACCAAAGGUCAUUUCUCCCAUUGUGCAUGUCCUUCACUCUCGGCCCCAUACCCAUCACCCCAUUCUUCACCCUCAUGCUUCAUCCCAAGGCAAACACGUGUCUUCAUUGGAAUCUAUCAGUGUUGGAGUUAAAUGUAGGGGCAGAGAUUUAACACCAUGACACUAAUGAAAACCAACCAUUCUUCACUUUCAAAUGGUUAAUUACUACAAGAAGGCAAACUCUUUUCUUGGUUUUUGUUUAAAAACAUUUUAUACAUAUAUAUGUAUAUAUGUGUGUGUAUGUAUGGACAUAUGUAUGUAUAUGCACAUGUACAUGUAUAUAUGUAUAUAUCCAUCUCCAAUAUAAAUAUAUCAUAUGUGAGAUUUGUAAAUACUCCUUGGUCAUAUGUCUGUCUCCCUCAUGGUAUCGUAUCUUCAGUGUUUUGUUAACGACUCCAUUUAUUGAUUGAUGAAAUCGUGUGUAGACUGUGUCCUCCUGACAUGGUUUAUGUAGGGUCUCUUCUCAAAUAAAGUAUAAAACAUCAAUGCCCUUGUUUUAUUUGGAUUCAUUAUUUGAUAGGGAAGAGUGUUGAAUUUAAAGGUAGGUGGAAGUUUGGGAAAGUCCGAAUGUACGCACAGAUUGCAGGAUUUUGUGUCACCUUGAGAGCUGGAUCCUUGGGUUGCUGAGGGUAAAAGUGGCUUGCACAAGGUGUAAGGUGGCCUCCAAGCUGGAUACUGGAUUGAUAUGUGUGUUUCAAGAAGAACAUACACACGUUUAUGAUUUGAGGUGGGGUUCAAGGAAAGGAUUUGCCACCUCCAGCUCUCUGUCCUGUCACUCCAUAUGUGUUAUUAAAACUUCCCGGUUAUAACUAUUUCAGUUAUGUUCCCAAGGUGGGAUAAAAC
Molecule: long non-coding RNA, 14840 nt
Filed under: Equus asinus (donkey)
Lineage: Eukaryota; Metazoa; Chordata; Mammalia; Perissodactyla; Equidae
Description: lncRNA (ENSEASG00005031165.1)
Source: RNAcentral